GUCACAUAUGUCACUGGUGCAUAGCUAGCACAUUGAACUUGAGAUUAAAAACAAUCACACCUCUGACUUCACAAAGAGCAGUCUCACUACAAAAUAAAAUCACAGGUAUAUAUGUAUCACAUCACAAACACACAUAUGUAUAUAUCGCAGGAACAGUAAACUGGACAUUAAUCAUCAGCACACAACAAUAUUUUUGAUGAAUUACACACACACACACACAUACUAGCAGAAUACCAAUUGACAAAACCAAAAUAUGAUAAAUCAAGUAUCUCUCAAAGUAACAAAGCCUCAACUAGUCAGAUCUCAAAACACAUACACUAUAUUAUACAAGUACUUAAACAGAGCAAACAGCAGAUUGCAAGUACACUUCAAAUCUGAAUAUUACAUAAGCAUCUCAAGGCACAAAUCUGAAUAUUACACAAGGUUCACCUAGCGGUUUUCAGAAAUUUGCAAGAAGUAAGAGAGGAGAGAAGCAGCAGCAGUUCAGAGAAGAACUAGGAGCAGCAAGGAGAGAAGAGCAGCAGCAGGUUCGUGGGAGAGGGAGCAGCAGCAGUAGUAGGGGUUCAAGGAAGAAAGAAGAUGCAGCAGCAGGGACGUGAGGAGAGGGAGCAGCAACAGUUUUGGAGAGAAGGAGGAGCAGCAGCGAGGGGAAGGAGAGGAAUCAGCAGGGACGCAAGAAGAGGAGCAGCAGCAAAGACGUGGGAGAAGAGAGCAGCAGCAGCGGAGGGCGCAAGAAGAAGCGGCAACAGCAGCAAGGGUUCAUAGAAGGAGAAGCAGCAAGCAGUUUGGGGGACGAGGAGAGGUGGAGGAGCAGCAAAGGGAAGAAGAAUUUGGGGAAACAGCAGGGAGAGGCGCGCCGGCUGGAGGGAGAGGUCGCGCGAGACACCAGACCACCACGUCUGGUAGGGCGCGCGAGGUGAUGGUGAAGGCGCGGUGGAGAUGGAGUGGUGCUGGUGGUGCUUGGCGCGGACGGUGGAGAUGGAUGGCUUCGGGGAGUGGUGGAUGGAGAUGGUGAUGAGGUGGGAGGCGCACCACCACGCCGGCCUGGCCGUGGCGGCGGCCGGAGGUGGAGAAGUAGUGUGAGGGAGAUAGAGAUGCCAGGCCUAAGGGGAUCGAAGAAGAUGGCUGGGGAUUUUACCCCUCUCGAUCAGAUCUGCAUUCUCC
RNAcentral lists this ribosomal RNA (1164 nucleotides) under Triticum aestivum (bread wheat). RNAcentral describes it as "partial small subunit ribosomal RNA". The record is from RNAcentral. Lineage: Eukaryota; Viridiplantae; Streptophyta; Magnoliopsida; Poales; Poaceae.